GACGAACGCUGGCGGCGUGCUUAACACAUGCAAGUCGAACGCUGAGGCCUAGCUUGCUGGGUGGAUGAGUGGCGAACGGGUGAGUAACACGUGAGUAACCUGCCCUCUUCUUUGGGAUAACGCCCGGAAACGGGUGCUAAUACUGGAUAUUCACUGAUCUUCGCAUGGGGGUUGGUGGAAAGGUUUUUUCUGGUGGGGGAUGGGCUCGCGGCCUAUCAGCUUGUUGGUGGGGUGAUGGCCUACCAAGGCUUUGACGGGUAGCCGGCCUGAGAGGGUGACCGGUCACAUUGGGACUGAGAUACGGCCCAGACUCCUACGGGAGGCAGCAGUGGGGAAUAUUGCACAAUGGGCGAAAGCCUGAUGCAGCGACGCCGCGUGAGGGAUGGAGGCCUUCGGGUUGUAAACCUCUUUCGCUCAUGGUCAAGCCGCAGCUUUGGGUUGUGGUGAGGGUAGUGGGUAAAGAAGCGCCGGCUAACUACGUGCCAGCAGCCGCGGUAAUACGUAGGGCGCGAGCGUUGUCCGGAAUUAUUGGGCGUAAAGGGCUUGUAGGCGGUUGGUCGCGUCUGCCGUGAAAUCCUCUGGCUUAACUGGGGGGCGUGCGGUGGGUACGGGCUGACUUGAGUGCGGUAGGGGAGACUGGAACUCCUGGUGUAGCGGUGGAAUGCGCAGAUAUCAGGAAGAACACCGGUGGCUAAUGCGGGUCUCUGUGUCCGUUGCUGACGCUGAGGAGCGAAAAGCGUGGGGAGCGAACAUG
RNAcentral lists this ribosomal RNA (754 nucleotides) under uncultured Actinomyces sp. Its description in RNAcentral is "bacterial SSU rRNA". It matches the Rfam family "Bacterial small subunit ribosomal RNA", at positions 28 to 776 of the family's 1533-position model. The record is from RNAcentral. Lineage: Bacteria; Bacillati; Actinomycetota; Actinomycetes; Actinomycetales; Actinomycetaceae.